AACGAACGCUGGCGGCAUGCCUAACACAUGCAAGUCGAACGAGACCUUCGGGUCUAGUGGCGCACGGGUGCGUAACGCGUGGGAACCUGCCCUUAGGUUCGGAAUAACUCCCCGAAAGGGGUGCUAAUACCGGAUAAUGUCUUCGGACCAAAGAUUUAUCGCCUUUGGAUGGGCCCGCGUUGGAUUAGCUAGUUGGUAGGGUAAAAGCCUACCAAGGCGACGAUCCAUAGCUGGUCUGAGAGGAUGCUCAGCCACACUGGGACUGAGACACGGCCCAGACUCCUACGGGAGGCAGCAGUGGGGAAUAUUGGACAAUGGGCGAAAGCCUGAUCCAGCAAUGCCGCGUGAGUGAUGAAGGCCUUAGGGUUGUAAAGCUCCUUUAGCCGGGAUGAUAAUGACAGUACCGGGAGAAUAAGCUCCGGCUAACUCCGUG
This 433-nucleotide ribosomal RNA is filed under the name uncultured bacterium. RNAcentral's name for it is "partial 16S ribosomal RNA". It matches the Rfam family "Bacterial small subunit ribosomal RNA", at positions 29 to 507 of the family's 1533-position model. The record is from RNAcentral.